AACGAACGCUGGCGGCAGGCCUAACACAUGCAAGUCGAGCGAGGACUUCGGUCCUAGCGGCGGACGGGUGAGUAACGCGUGGGAACGUGCCCUUUGCUUCGGAAUAGCCCUGGGAAACUGGGAGUAAUACCGGAUGAGCCCUUUGGGGGAAAGAUUUAUCGGCGAAGGAUCGGCCCGCGUUGGAUUAGGUAGUUGGUGGGGUAAUGGCCUACCAAGCCGACGAUCCAUAGCUGGUUUGAGAGGAUGAUCAGCCACACUGGGACUGAGACACGGCCCAGACUCCUACGGGAGGCAGCAGUGGGGAAUCUUAGACAAUGGGGGAAACCCUGAUCUAGCCAUGCCGCGUGAGCGAUGAAGGCCUUAGGGUUGUAAAGCUCUUUCAGCUGGGAAGAUAAUGACGGUACCAGCAGAAGAAGCCACGGCUAACUCCGUG
RNAcentral lists this ribosomal RNA (433 nucleotides) under uncultured bacterium. Its description in RNAcentral is "partial 16S ribosomal RNA". It matches the Rfam family "Bacterial small subunit ribosomal RNA", at positions 29 to 507 of the family's 1533-position model. The record is from RNAcentral.